Molecule: ribosomal RNA, 460 nt
Filed under: uncultured bacterium
Lineage: Bacteria
Description: partial 16S ribosomal RNA
Rfam family: Bacterial small subunit ribosomal RNA
Source: RNAcentral
CCUACGGGAGGCAGCAGUGAGGAAUAUUGGUCAAUGGACGAGAGUCUGAACCAGCCAAGUAGCGUGAAGGAUGACUGCCCUAUGGGUUGUAAACUUCUUUUAUAAAGGAAUAAAACGAGGCACGUGUGCCUUUUUGCAUGUCCUUUAUGAAUAAGGAUCGGCUAACUCCGUGCCAGCAGCCGCGGUAAUACGGAGGAUCCGAGCGUUAUCCGGAUUUAUUGGGUUUAAAGGGAGCGUAGAUGGUUUGUUAAGUCAGUGGUGAAAGUUUGCGGCUCAACCGUAAAAUUGCAAUUGAUACUGGCAGUCUUGAGUACAGUUGAGGGAGGCGGAAUUCGUGGUGUAGCAGUGAAAUGCUUAGAUAUCACGAAGAACCCCGAUUGCGAAGGCAGCUUACUAAACUGUGACUGACAUUGAUGCUCGAAAGUGUGGGUAUCAAACAGGAUUAGAUACCCUAGUAGUC